GUUGAUAGAGGAGCAAUAAUUAUAAGUAGCGGUAUGUGCUUUUAAAAGCAAAAUAGGGUUAAUUUAUUACCGCAAAAGGGAUUGUUGCCGAAACAAAAAAUAAAACCCGUUAUUUUUUGUUGGACUGCAGCAGAAUAUGCUGUAGGCUGUCACUUUUGUGGAGCGCUAUCUGAU
RNAcentral lists this non-coding RNA (174 nucleotides) under bovine gut metagenome. Its description in RNAcentral is "Lysine riboswitch". It matches the Rfam family "Lysine riboswitch aptamer". From Rfam's summary of the family: Riboswitches are metabolite binding domains within certain messenger RNAs that serve as precision sensors for their corresponding targets. Allosteric rearrangement of mRNA structure is mediated by ligand binding, and this results in modulation of gene expression. The record is from RNAcentral.